Molecule: ribosomal RNA, 434 nt
Filed under: Onthophagus spinifex
Lineage: Eukaryota; Metazoa; Arthropoda; Insecta; Coleoptera; Scarabaeidae
Description: partial large subunit ribosomal RNA
Rfam family: Bacterial large subunit ribosomal RNA
Source: RNAcentral
AGUCUGACCUGCCCAAUGAUAUUUUUAUUAAAUGGCCGCGAUAAUUUGAUCGUGCAAAGGUAGCAUAAUAAUUAGUUUUUUAAUUGAGAACUGGAAUGAAAGGUCGAACGAGAAAAAGACUGUCUCUAUUUAAUUUAUAUUAGAAUUUUAUUUUUAAGUAAAAAAGCUUAAAUUAUUUUAAAAGACGAGAAGACCCUAUAGAGUUUUAUAUUUGUUAUGUUAUUUUUUAUUUUAAGAAUUUAGAUUUAAAAUUUAAUAAUAAAUAUUUAGUUGGGGUGAUUGAAAAAUUUAAUAAACUUUUUUUAUAUUUAAACAUUAAUAUAUGAUUAAAUGAUCCAUAAAUUAUGAUUAAAAGAUUAAAUUACCUUAGGGAUAACAGCGUAAUUUUUUUUGAGAGUUCUUAUCGAAAAAAAAGUUUGCGACCUCGAUGUGGG